UACGUAGGGUGCAAGCGUUAAUCGGAAUUACUGGGCGUAAAGCGUGCGCAGGCGGUUGUGCAAGACAGAUGUGAAAUCCCCGGGCUUAACCUGGGAACUGCAUUUGUGACUGCACGGCUAGAGUGUGUCAGAGGGGGGUAGAAUUCCACGUGUAGCAGUGAAAUGCGUAGAUAUGUGGAGGAAUACCGAUGGCGAAGGCAGGCCCCCUGGGUCAAGAUUGACGCUCAUGCACGAAAAGCGUGGGGGAGCAAACAGG
RNAcentral lists this ribosomal RNA (256 nucleotides) under uncultured bacterium. RNAcentral describes it as "partial 16S ribosomal RNA". It matches the Rfam family "Bacterial small subunit ribosomal RNA", at positions 524 to 776 of the family's 1533-position model. The record is from RNAcentral.